UUUUCUCUGCAAAAAUUUGUGUCGUUUUUUUGCCAUUUUCAGGGGUUGUACUUUAACGAACUCCUCCUAGAGAUUUAUUCAGAUCAACACCAAACUUUGUCAGUGUAAUCUAAAGGCCUUUGCGAUGUUAAAUUGCGAAGAUCUUGAGGUUUCGUUUAAGGGCGUGUCUGUGGCGGCCUUACAAAUUUCGAUGUUUCGCCAUGAGAAAGGAAGUUGCUAUAACUCAGACAUACAAUGUCCAAUCUGCCCCAAACUUCACAUGUUUGAGAAGACUCCUGACCUGAAUAUAUCUACAUGCCAAUAUUCAGAUAUCGCUAUAGCGCCACCUGCUGGCAACAGGAAGUGACAUGUUUUACGCCGUAACAAACUACUCCUAGAAAUUUUAUGACAUUUUAUAUUUUUUUGGGUCAGUCUAAUCUAAAGGCCUUUGCGAUGUUAAAUUGUGAACAUCUUGAGGUUUCAUUAAAGGGUGUGGCCAUGGCGCCGUCACAAAGUUCGUUGUCUCGCCAUGGGAAUGGAAGUUGCUAUAACUCAGACAUACAAUGUCCAAUCUGCCCCAAACUUCACAUGUUUGAGAAGACUCCUGACCUGAAUAUAUCUACAUGCCAAAUAUUCAGAUAUCGCUAUAGCGCCACCUGCUGGCAACAGGAAGUGACAUGGUUUCACGCCGUAACAAACUACUCCUAGAUAUUUUAUGACAUUUUAUAAUUUUUUUUGGUCAGUCUAAUCUAAAGGCCUUUGCGAUGUUAAAUUGUGAACAUCUUGAGGUUUCAUUAAAGGGUGUGGCCAUGGCGCUGUGACAAAGUUCGAUGUCUCGCCAUGGGAAUAGAAGUUGUUGUAACUCAGGCAUAAGAUGUCCGAUCUUCCCCAAACUUCACAUGUUCGAAAAGAGUCUUGGCCUGAACACAUCUGAAGGUCAUUAUUCCACUAUAAUCAUAGCGCCACCUGCUGACAACAGAAAAUGGCUUAUUUUACACUAACUUAAACAUGCAAUGUCCAAUCUGCACCAAACUUCAAAUAUUUGAUAAGAGUCAUGGCCUGAAGAUAUCUAAAGGCAAAUGUUCAGUUAUAGUCAUAGCGCCACCAGCUGGCAGCAGGAAGAUUGGCACAUAUAAAUGACUUUGGACAUAUUCCUCUUAUAUUUACCACAUUAAACGCAUAUUUCUCGCCGUUCGCUGUUUUACAAAAGCCACCCGGUGGUGGUGAGCCCGGGUGCGAGGGCCCGUUCAUCGCUGCUUGCAGCUUUAAUUAGGGCCCGAGCACCGAUGGUGUGAGGACCCUCUUGUAUCUGCUUCGUUUCUUCUUCUUCUUCUUCUUCUUCAUCUUCUUCUUUUUCUUCUUCUCCAAAAUGAAUCGCAUUUUUGAGGGCCUAAACAUGCUCGAAAAGUCCUGAAACUUUGCACACGCGUCAGACCUGGUGAAAAUUUACGUCUGAUAUAGGUUUCAGAAGAGGGUGUGGCAAAAUGGCUCGACAGCGCCACCUAUCGUAAAAAAUCAACAGCCCUCGAGCUGUGUUUCACGUACAUGCACGAAAAUUGGCACACAUAUGUAAAGCAUCAGUACCUACAAAAAAGACUCUUGGAGCAAUAUCCGAAACCCAACAGGAAGUCGGUUAUUUUUAAUUUUAUGAGCAAAUUUUGCAUCAUUUUUGUCAUUUGCAUGCCUUGUAUUUUAACGAACUCCUCCUAGAGAUUUAUUCAAUUCAACACCAAAUUUGGUAUGCCUAAUCUAAAGGCCUUUGCGAUGUUAAAUUGCGAAGAUCUUGAGUUUUCGUUGAAGGGCGUGUCCGUGGCGGCCUGACGAAUUUCGAUGAUUCGCCAUGAAAAAUGAAGUUGCUGUAACUCAGACAUACAAUGUCCAAUCUGCCCCAAACUUCACAUGUUUGAGAAAACUCCUGACCUGAACAUAUCUACAUGCCCAUAUUCAGUUAUAGUCAUAGCGCCACCUACUGGCAACAGGAAGUGACAUAUUUUUACACUGUAACGAAACUACUCCUAGAAAUUUUUAUGACACUUUAUAAUUUUUUUUUGGUCAGUCUAAUCUAAAUGCCUUUAUGAUGUUAAAUUGUGAACAUGUUGAGUUUUCAUUAAACGGUGUGUCCAUGGCGCCGUGACAAAUGUUGAUGUCUCGCCAUGGGAAUAAAAGUUAUUGUAACUCAGGCAUAAAAUGACCGAUCUUGCCCAAACUUCACAUGUUCGAUAAGAGUCCUGGCCUGAACACAUCUGAUGGCCAAUAUUCCAUCGGGUGUGGCAAAAUGCCUCAAUAGUGCCACCUAUACAAUUUCAACGGAGUGCGCCUCGAGCUACGUUUCACGUACAUGUACAAAAAUCGGUACACACAUGUAACACACCAAUACCUACAAAAAAGUCUCUUGGUACAAAAUUCGAAUCCCAACAGGAAGUCAGUUAUUUUUGAAUUUUUCUCUGCAAAAAUUUGUGUCGUUUUUUUGCCAUUUUCAGGGGUUGUACUUUAACGAACUCCUCCUAGAGAUUUAUUCAGAUCAACACCAAACUUUGUCAGUGUAAUCUAAAGGCCUUUGCGAUGUUAAAUUGCGAAGAUCUUGAGGUUUCGUUUAAGGGCGUGUCUGUGGCGGCCUUACAAAUUUCGAUGUUUCGCCAUGAGAAAGGAAGUUGCUAUAACUCAGACAUACAAUGUCCAAUCUGCCCUCAAACUUCACAUGUUUGAGAAGACUCCUGACCUGAAUAUAUCUACAUGCCAAUAUUCAGAUAUCGCUAUAGCGCCACCUGCUGGCAACAGGAAGUGACAUGUUUUACGCCGUAACAAACUACUCCUAGAAAUUUUAUGACAUUUUAUAAUUUUUUUUGGUCAGUCUAAUCUAAAGGCCUUUGCGAUGUUAAAUUGUGAACAUCUUGAGGUUUCAUUAAAGGGUGUGGCCAUGGCGCCGUGACAAAGUUCGAUGUCUCGCCAUGGGAAUAGAAGUUGUUGUAACUCAGGCAUAAGAUGUCCGAUCUUCCCCAAACUUCACAUGUUCGAAAAGAGUCUUGGCCUGAACACAUCUGAAGGUCAUUAUUCCACUAUAAUCAUAGCGCCACCUGCUGACAACAGAAAAUGGCUUGUUUUACACUAACUUAAACAUGCAAUGUCCAAUCUGCACCAAACUUCAAAUAUUUGAUAAGAGUCAUGGCCUGAAGAUAUCUAAAGGCCAAUGUUCAGUUAUAAUCAUAGCGCCACCUGUUGGCAAUAGGACACAACAUGCUUUAUACUAACUCAAACAUUCCAUGUUCAAUCUGCACUAAAUUUCAUAUGCUUGAUAAAAGUGCUGGACUGAAGAAAUCUACAUGACAAAAUCCAGUUAUAGUCAUAGCGCCACCAGCUGGCAGCAGGAAGAUUGGCACAUAUAAAUGACUUUGACAUAUUUCCUCUUAUAUUUACCACAUUAAACGCAUAUUUCUCGCCGUUCGCUGUU
This is a long non-coding RNA of Cyprinus carpio carpio, 3427 nucleotides long. NCBI's taxonomy places the organism in Eukaryota, Metazoa, Chordata, Actinopteri, Cypriniformes, Cyprinidae. The record is from Ensembl.